CGCUGCUCCGCGGCCUCCCUCCCAGCACGGGAACUGUGGGCGCGUUGUGGAGACUGGCCUCCCGUGCGUCCCUUCGUGCGGAUGGCCCAAAUGUGAGCCCUCGGCGACGCACGUCACGGCCAUUGGUGGUUGAAUACUCGACUGUUAUGCUGUUGUGUCGUGCUGCGCGUACCUCGUGGGUUGAUAUCAUUGGAUGCGACUCUCAUCCAAGCAGACCCAACUGCAGCUUUGUGGGCUGCGUCC
Molecule: unclassified non-coding RNA, 243 nt
Filed under: Pinguicula jackii
Lineage: Eukaryota; Viridiplantae; Streptophyta; Magnoliopsida; Lamiales; Lentibulariaceae
Also listed under: 1 other name
Description: ITS2
Source: RNAcentral